This 537-nucleotide ribosomal RNA is filed under the name uncultured Bacteroidales bacterium. Its description in RNAcentral is "bacterial SSU rRNA". It matches the Rfam family "Bacterial small subunit ribosomal RNA", at positions 61 to 588 of the family's 1533-position model. Lineage: Bacteria; Pseudomonadati; Bacteroidota; Bacteroidia; Bacteroidales. The record is from RNAcentral.
GUCGAGGGGCAGCAUCAUCAAAGCUUGCUUUGAUGGAUGGCGACCGGCGCACGGGUGAGUAACACGUAUCCAACCUGCCGACAACACUGGGAUAGCCUUUCGAAAGAAAGAUUAAUACCGGAUGGCAUAGUUUUCCCGCAUGGGAUAAUUAUUAAAGAAUUUCGGUUGUCGAUGGGGAUGCGUUCCAUUAGGCAGUUGGCGGGGUAACGGCCCACCAAACCAACGAUGGAUAGGGGUUCUGAGAGGAAGGUCCCCCACAUUGGAACUGAGACACGGUCCAAACUCCUACGGGAGGCAGCAGUGAGGAAUAUUGGUCAAUGGACGAGAGUCUGAACCAGCCAAGUAGCGUGAAGGAUGACUGCCCUAUGGGUUGUAAACUUCUUUUAUACGGGAAUAAAGUUAGCCACGUGUGGCUUUUUGUAUGUACCGUAUGAAUAAGGAUCGGCUAACUCCGUGCCAGCAGCCGCGGUAAUACGGAGGAUCCGAGCGUUAUCCGGAUUUAUUGGGUUUAAAGGGAGCGUACGCGGGUUGUUAAGU